AUUGAACGCUAGCGGGAUGCCUUACACAUGCAAGUCGAACGGAGUGGCGAACGGGCGAGUAAUGUAUCGGAACGUGCCCAGUAGCGGGGGAUAACUACGCGAAAGCGUAGCUAAUAACGCACACUAUUGGAGCGGCCGAUUUCGGAUUAGCUAGUUGGUGGGGUAACGGCUCACCAGGGCGCCGAGCCGUAGCUGGUUUGAGAGGUCGACCAGCCACACUGGGACUGAGACACGGCCCAGACUCCUACGGGAGGCAGCGGUGGGGAAUUUUGGACAAUGGGGGAAACCCGGAUCCAGCCAUCCCGGGUGUGCGAUGAGGGCUUGCGGGUUGUAAAGCACUGUUGGCAGGAAAGCGGUACCUGCAGAAUAAGCACCGGCUAAGUACGUGCCAGCAGCCGCGGUAAUUC
RNAcentral lists this ribosomal RNA (407 nucleotides) under uncultured bacterium. RNAcentral's name for it is "partial 16S ribosomal RNA". It matches the Rfam family "Bacterial small subunit ribosomal RNA", at positions 30 to 526 of the family's 1533-position model. The record is from RNAcentral.